CUGCUUACCUGGCGGGGAAAAGACCACGGUCGACAAGGUGGUUCUCCUCGGUGAGACUCGCACCCCUGCUCUCCGGGGUCCUGAUCCACGCGGCUCCUCCAAAGGCGGGGGUUCCGGCUGCAUCGUUUAUAGUAUUGGCGGACUGCAACAAUCCGCUU
Molecule: non-coding RNA, 158 nt
Organism: Peromyscus maniculatus bairdii (prairie deer mouse)
Lineage: Eukaryota; Metazoa; Chordata; Mammalia; Rodentia; Cricetidae
Source: RefSeq, a predicted model, not a curated record